This is a long non-coding RNA of Miniopterus natalensis, 201 nucleotides long. RefSeq lists it as uncharacterized. The record is from RefSeq and is a predicted model, not a curated record. NCBI's taxonomy places the organism in Eukaryota, Metazoa, Chordata, Mammalia, Chiroptera, Miniopteridae.
AGAGGGGACAACCACUGCUUGAGCUUUCCUUGCUUUGUCUCCUGGUAGCCUCCUGUUCCAGAAUAACAGGUUGCCCAGGCCCUCAGCCAAACAAGACUGGACACCAUGGAAAGCAGGUUCGAGGACGUUGAGAGGAAAUUCUGGAGGCAGCAGUGAUGGAAUUCCACAUUCCAGUGGAAUUGGGCGGUGGCAGCAGCCUCC